GGCUAGAGGUUAUGGCCUACGAUUCCCAACACAGUCAGAAGUAUGAGGCCUCUAAAGCACAUCAAAGCAUUUUGGUCUUCCAAACACAAGUCUUGCUGAAGUCCAGAACUUUUGUUUUUCAUUGGAAUCAGGAUUCCACUUCUUCACUUUCCACCUGAUGUAGCAAGGACGACC
This is a long non-coding RNA of Passer domesticus (house sparrow), 174 nucleotides long. RefSeq lists it as uncharacterized. The transcript is spliced from 3 exons. Lineage: Eukaryota; Metazoa; Chordata; Aves; Passeriformes; Passeridae. The record is from RefSeq and is a predicted model, not a curated record.